This 335-nucleotide unclassified non-coding RNA is filed under the name soil metagenome. Its description in RNAcentral is "partial contains 5.8S ribosomal RNA, internal transcribed spacer 2, and large subunit ribosomal RNA". The stretch from base 1 to 120 matches the Rfam family "5.8S ribosomal RNA", at positions 35 to 154 of the family's 154-position model. The record is from RNAcentral.
GAUGAAGAACGUAGUGAAAUGCGAUAAGUAAUGUGAAUUGCAGAAUUCAGUGAAUCAUCGAAUCUUUGAACGCACAUUGCGCCCGCCAGUAUUCUGGCGGGCAUGCCUGUUCGAGCGUCAUUUCAACCAUCAAGCCCCCGGCUUGUGUUGGGGACCUGCGGCUGCCGCAGGCCCUGAAAAGCAGUGGCGGGCUCGCUGUCACACCGAGCGUAGUAGAUUUCAUCUCGCUCAGGGCGUGCUGCGGGUUCCGGCCGUUAAACCACCUUCAUAACCCAAGGUUGACCUCGGAUCAGGUAGGAAGACCCGCUGAACUUAAGCAUACAAUAAGCGGAGGA